UUUUUGCAUACAGGGCAAUGUGGUGUUAAGGCUUGCACCUGGGACUGUGAUAUCGCAGUCCUCAGAUGUGCGUGCCUUCGAGUCGGAUUGCUUGAGAUUGCAGGCCAAAGUGGGUGGUAAACUCCAUCCAAGGCUAAAUACUGGCAUGAGUCCGAUAGUAGACAAGUACCGUGAGGGAAAGUUGAAAAGUACUCUGAAGAGAGAGUAAAUAGUACGUGAAGCCGGUUGCAGGGAAGCUGGUGGAGUCAAGCUUCAUGCUUGAAGAAUUCUUGUCAUGAGUUCAUUGUGGAUUUGCAUGUGGUCAGCCAGCUUGGAAUAAGUUGGGCACAUUCGUGUGCUUCAAGGCAUUCUGGGUAGUUUGUUUGAAGCUGGCCAUUAUGUAUUGCUCAUGAUAAUCUAUUCUUCGCUGCAUAAAUCACAGUCGAUACAGUUGCGCCCGAUGAUUGUCUAACUGUGCUUCGGUAGGCCUUGUGUUUACCGGGUGCAGAAUGGGAGGUACGGCCGUUGAUCCUUAGAUUAACGUGUCUUCGAAGAUAAAGCCGACUUUC
This 548-nucleotide ribosomal RNA is filed under the name Haliotrematoides longihamus. RNAcentral's name for it is "partial 28S ribosomal RNA". It matches the Rfam family "Eukaryotic large subunit ribosomal RNA", at positions 126 to 630 of the family's 3401-position model. Lineage: Eukaryota; Metazoa; Platyhelminthes; Monogenea; Dactylogyridea; Ancyrocephalidae. The record is from RNAcentral.